GACGAACGCUGGCGGCGUGCCUAAUACAUGCAAGUUGAGCGCUGAAGGUUGGUACUUGUACCAACUGGAUGAGCAGCGAACGGGUGAGUAACGCGUGGGGAAUCUGCCUUUGAGCGGGGGACAACAUUUGGAAACGAAUGCUAAUACCGCAUAAAAACUUUAAACACAAGUUUUAAGUUUGAAAGAUGCAAUUGCAUCACUCAAAGAUGAUCCCGCGUUGUAUUAGCUAGUUGGUGAGGUAAAGGCUCACCAAGGCGAUGAUACAUAGCCGACCUGAGAGGGUGAUCGGCCACAAUGGGACUGAGACACGGCCCAAACUCCUACAGGAGGCAGCAGUAGGGAAUCUUCGGCAAUGGACGAAAGUCUGACCGAGCAACGCCGCGUGAGUGAAGAAGGUUUUCGGAUCGUAAAACUCUGUUGGUAGAGAAGAACGUUGGUGAGAGUGGAAAGCUCAUCAAGUGACGGUAACUAACCAGAAAGGGACGGCUAACUACGUG
Molecule: ribosomal RNA, 497 nt
Filed under: uncultured bacterium
Lineage: Bacteria
Description: partial 16S ribosomal RNA
Rfam family: Bacterial small subunit ribosomal RNA
Source: RNAcentral